GGUUGCGGCCAAGAUGGCGGCUUUUUUUUUUACCGAGCUCCAUACCAAACUUCAGAAAGAUUGUGGAAAAAAAACAAGUUUACAGUCAUUUGUAUUUUUAUUUGUUCAAGACAUAAGACUUUUCCUGUUACUAAAAUAAUAAUUGGAUCAUUUAUUUCGGCAUGUCCAGGCAAAGUCGUGACAAAAAAAAGAAAGGAAGAAGUUAGCUGUUCUAUUGCUAAUCAACGAGAGAAACCUGCUUAUAGACAGACAACUGCCAUAACUACGCGUGCCCUACGGAUAAUAUCAUGCUUUCGAAUGCUGAAGAUUACGAAUUCCCCUCUUUACCGGUUACUCCGUGCAAACCUCCACCCUCCAAAAAACCCAACAUGAACUCUGACAUCGUGGCUACCCUCUCAAGACCAAGGGGUAUCAUCAUCCUCUCCACUGCCAGAUUCUACGGGGAUGCUGUCUGGAAAGCUGCUAGGAAGAACGCCUUCCUCCAGAGCCGUGGUGUGCGUUUCACCGAGCAUCUCAGCCCGGAGGACAUAGAAAGAAGGAACAAGUUGUGGCCAACGAUCAAGAAAGAACGAAAUGAGGGAAAGGCUGUUUACUUCGUAGGAGGACGAGGCUUCAUCAACGGUUCAGAAAUCCAUAUUUCUCCCUAAAAUCUCACCAGAAGGGACAGGUUGACGGUUUCAGCCAUGGACCUGAGCCCUAGGACCAUGCCUCAGGACUACCUGACAUGAUGACUCCUUGCUGUCCCCAGCCCACCUGGUCGUGCUGCUGCUCCAGUUUCAACUGUUCUGCCUGUGAUUAUUACUAUUUGACCAUGCUGGUCAUUUAUGAACAUUUGAACAUCUUGGCCAUGUUCUGUUAUAAUCUCCACCCGGCACAGCCAGAAGAGGACUGGUCACCCCUCAUAGCCUGGUUCCUUUCUAGGUUUCUUCCUAGGUUUUGGCCUUUCUAGGGAGUUUUUCCUAGCCACCGUGCUUCUACACCUGCAUUGCUUUGCUGUUUGGGGUUUUAGGCUGGGUUUCUGUACAGCACUUUGAGAUAUCAGCUCAGGGCUAUAUAAAUAAAUUUGAUUUGAUUUGAUGGAAUUACAUCAGAAUUUUACAAAUUAUUUUCUGAACAAGUAGCUCCCUUCCUAUUUGAAGUCUUUUUAGAGAGUAUUAAAAACAAUGUUCUCCCUCCUACAAUGAGUCAGGGGUUAAUAACACUGAUACCUGUAAGCCUAAAAAAGAAGUGCUGCUCAUCGAUAACUGGCGUCCAGUUUGUCUUCUUAAUAAUGACUAUAAGAUAUUAGCCUCACUACUUGCAAAAAUAAUUAAAGAAGUUCUGGAUGCAAUCAUUGAUGAAACACAGUCUGGCUUCAUGAGGAACAGACAUAUUUCUAACAAUGUCAGACUAGUAUUAGACGUACUUGACUACUCAGACCUAAUAACUGAGGAUAGCUUCAUAUUAUUUUUUAGAUUUUAAUAAAGCAUUUGACACAGUA
This is a long non-coding RNA of Oncorhynchus nerka (sockeye salmon), 1480 nucleotides long. RefSeq lists it as uncharacterized. The transcript has 2 exons. The record is from RefSeq and is a predicted model, not a curated record. NCBI's taxonomy places the organism in Eukaryota, Metazoa, Chordata, Actinopteri, Salmoniformes, Salmonidae.